RNAcentral lists this ribosomal RNA (342 nucleotides) under Chryseobacterium joostei. RNAcentral describes it as "bacterial SSU rRNA". It matches the Rfam family "Bacterial small subunit ribosomal RNA", at positions 17 to 360 of the family's 1533-position model. The record is from RNAcentral. Lineage: Bacteria; Pseudomonadati; Bacteroidota; Flavobacteriia; Flavobacteriales; Weeksellaceae.
UUUUGGCUCAGGACGAACGCUGGCGGGAGGCCUAACACAUGCAAGCCGAGCGGUAGAGAUCUUUCGGGAUCUUGAGAGCGGCGUACGGGUGCGGAACACGUGUGCAACCUGCCUUUAUCUGGGGGAUAGCCUUUCGAAAGGAAGAUUAAUACCCCAUAAUAUAAGAGACGGCAUCGUUUUUUAUUGAAAACUCCGGUGGAUAGAGAUGGGCACGCGCAAGAUUAGAUAGUUGGUGAGGUAACGGCUCACCAAGUCUACGAUCUUUAGGGGGCUCUGAGAGGGUGAUCCCCCACACUGGUACUGAGACACGGACCAGACUCCUACGGGAGGCAGCAGUAGGAG